AAGUCGUAACAAGGUUUCCGUAGGUGAACCUCCGGAAGGAUCAUUAACACCCCCCGUGAACAUUGAUUCCUGCUCUUGUAACCCGCGAAGCUUGCAAUCUCUGGUAAAUCAUAGCCCGGAAAGUAGUUUUGAUUCAGAGACCUCUGGCCCGUGCGAAAAUUGGAACACUUACAAUUCGAGCGGUAGUUCUAUAGGCCUUGUUUCCCCAAGCAGUCAGUGUCUGAAAGUGUCAGUGAUUGUGCAAGGAUAACGCUUCACGAUUCUUGUAGACCGCAUCUCGCGGGCAGGAGCUAGGCCAAAGGGUCCCCAUGCCCCCUUACAACCCCACAGUUAAAUGUGAAGCUCAAUGUAAUACAUUGGGUAAAAAACCGAACAACUGUUAACAAUGGAUAUCUUGGUUCUC
RNAcentral lists this unclassified non-coding RNA (403 nucleotides) under fungal sp. RNAcentral describes it as "partial internal transcribed spacer region". The stretch from base 1 to 46 matches the Rfam family "Eukaryotic small subunit ribosomal RNA", at positions 1786 to 1831 of the family's 1831-position model. The record is from RNAcentral. Lineage: Eukaryota; Fungi.